GGGGCGGGCGGCGCCAUGGAGGAGCGGGACGGCGGCUUCAGGAAGGUGCGGGGGAGCGGAGCGGAGCGGGCGGCUCCGGCCCGGCUCGGCCUCGCCCCGCUCACCGCCGCUCUCUCCGCGCAGGAGACGGUGGAGCGGCUGCUGCGGCUGCACUUCCGCGACGGGAAGACGCGAGUUAACGGCGACGCGCUGCUGCUGAUGGCGGAGAUGCUGAAGGUCUUCGUGCGAGCGCUGCCGCCGGGGCUGUACCGCAGAAGCGGCGGCGCGAGCAGCGCGGCAGGCACAGGCGGAGGACCUGGAGAAGGUGGACAUAGAGCACGUGGAGAAGGUGCUGCCUCAGCUGCUUCUAGAUUUCUAGUGACAUCAUGAAGCAGAAGUGACAUGUCAGCCGCCGGCAGAAGAUCCUGACCCAACGGCUCAGUCCGGCUCUAGGAAGAACAGCAUCACCUCCUUCUUCCUCUGCCACAGCGCUUCUGUUUCCCGUCUCCUUCACUGCAUUUCUGAUGUCAGAUGCUGUUUUUGAAAAGAGGCCGCCGCUCGCUUGGUUGGGUGGGCCGUCACUGGUUUCCCUCUCGCUGCCUUCCUUCUCUAACAGUGUGCCUAACAGCGUGGCAAAGCUGCUGUUGCCUUCUCAGCUAAUGUGAGAAACAGGUGCUGCUUCACAAGACGAGAGGCAUGGAAAGACUUAAUGGCUGGAAAUGUCAUCCAAACAUCGGGCUCUCCUCAUCUCAGCGGGCGGCAGUGGCAGGAACUUCAGGUCCGGCUCCAAGCCUGGCUAAUGAAUAGGUUGUUAACAGCAGCUCCGUUACAGGCUCUUGCCAAAAACAGGGGAGUAAGACCUGAUCUAGUUCUUGAAGAUACCCAUUUUUCAUUCUGCUGAAACAGCAGUAGAUUAAACUGAGGCAUCACUGUGUUACACAAGGGGCAUGCAAAGCAGAACUGACCGAAGCAGUGCACACAGCUGCAUGGACUCAGCUGCAGGAGUCAAAUCCUCUCCAGAAACCUCUUCUGACGGGCACAGCCGGUAUUAGAGUAUGCUUGGAUAAACCAGCUGUAUCUUGAUUUUAAAACGAUUAGAAAGUUAACUCUGGGGAUCUGGUUAAACCCAGUACCCAUUCUGCAGCUGUUGCUCAUCCCAGCUACAGAGAAGAAGAAACUGGGCCAAGAUCUAUCAGUGGCUCUGUCAGAUUAAGUCAUUCCUAAUUUUUUGUGAGCAGCAGUUGGGUCAAGAUAGAGCAGACACUGACCUCCUAAUCCUCAGCCCUGUACUUAACCCGAGAAAGUGCCCCAAUAACACUGAUAUUGCUGUUCAUGUCC
RNA transcript from Numida meleagris (helmeted guineafowl), 1317 nucleotides. It is a transcript of the gene named centromere protein X, with no coding region annotated. The record is from RefSeq and is a predicted model, not a curated record. NCBI's taxonomy places the organism in Eukaryota, Metazoa, Chordata, Aves, Galliformes, Numididae. The transcript has 5 exons.